GUGUGGCGCGCGCGGCCGGGCCGCCCCGGCAGUUGGUGCAGCGGCGGUUGGGGUGAGAGCGCCUACGCCACCCCUCCCCUCCUCCGGCCCCGGCCCCCACCCCGCCGGGCCCAGCCCCAGCCCCGGCCCGGGCUCCAGCCCUAGUACCCGUCCCAGCCCGAGUCGGGUCCGUCCCGUGCGGGCAGGUGCCGCCCCUCUGCCGGCGACGCCCCGGGCCGCCCGCCCGUCCGCUUGCCACCAUGGAGCUGGAGGACGGUGUGGUGUAUCAGGAGGAGCCCGGCGGCUCCGGGGCCGUGAUGUCGGAGCGGGUGUCCGGCCUGGCCGGCUCCAUCUACCGCGAGUUCGAGCGGCUUAUCGGGCGCUAUGACGAGGAGGUGGUCAAAGAGCUGAUGCCGCUGGUGGUGGCUGUGCUGGAGAACCUGGACUCGGUGUUCGCGCAGGACCAGGAGCACCAGGUGGAGCUGGAGCUGCUGCGGGACGACAACGAGCAGCUCAUCACCCAGUACGAGCGGGAGAAGGCGCUGCGCAAGCACGCUGAGGAGAAAUUCAUUGAAUUUGAAGACUCUCAAGAACAGGAAAAAAAGGACUUACAGACCCGAGUGGAAUCUUUAGAAUCUCAAACAAGACAACUUGAGCUGAAAGCGAAAAACUAUGCUGACCAGAUUAGCAGACUUGAAGAAAGAGAAGCAGAACUGAAGAAGGAAUAUAAUGCAUUACAUCAAAGACACACUGAGAUGAUCCAUAAUUAUAUGGAACAUUUAGAAAGAACAAAACUUCAUCAGCUCUCAGGGAGUGAUCAACUAGAAUCCACAGCUCAUAGUAGAAUUAGAAAAGAACGCCCUAUAUCAUUAGGAAUUUUCCCAUUACCUACUGGAGAUGGAUUGCUUACACCUGAUGCUCAGAAAGGAGGAGAGACCCCUGGAUCUGAGCAAUGGAAAUUUCAGGAAUUAAGUCAACCACGUUCUCAUACCAGCCUGAAGGUCAGCAAUAGUCCUGAACCUCAGAAGGCUGUAGAACAGGAGGAUGAGCUUUCUGAUGUUAGCCAAGGCGGAUCUAAAGCUACCACUCCAGCAUCAACAGCUAAUUCAGAUGUGGCAACAAUUCCUACUGAUACUCCCUUAAAGGAAGAAAACGAAGGAUUUGUGAAGGUUACAGAUGCGCCAAAUAAGUCAGAGAUAAGCAAACACAUUGAAGUACAGGUAGCCCAGGAAACUAGAAAUGUAUCUACUGGCUCUGCUGAAAAUGAAGAAAAGUCAGAAGUUCAAGCAAUCAUCGAAUCUACUCCUGAGCUGGAUAUGGACAAAGAUCUCAGUGGAUAUAAAGGUUCAAGCACUCCCACCAAAGGCAUAGAGAACAAAGCUUUUGAUCGCAAUACAGAAUCUCUCUUUGAAGAACUGUCUUCAGCUGGCUCAGGCCUAAUAGGAGAUGUGGAUGAAGGAGCAGAUUUACUAGGAAUGGGUCGGGAAGUUGAGAAUCUUAUAUUAGAAAAUACACAACUGUUGGAAACCAAAAAUGCUUUGAAUAUAGUGAAGAAUGAUUUGAUAGCAAAAGUGGAUGAACUGACCUGUGAGAAAGAUGUGCUGCAGGGGGAAUUGGAGGCUGUGAAGCAAGCCAAACUGAAACUAGAGGAAAAGAACAGAGAAUUGGAGGAAGAGCUUAGGAAAGCUCGGGCAGAAGCUGAAGAUGCAAGGCAAAAAGCAAAAGAUGACGAUGAUAGUGAUAUUCCCACAGCCCAGAGGAAACGGUUUACUAGAGUAGAAAUGGCCCGUGUUCUCAUGGAGCGAAACCAGUAUAAAGAGAGAUUGAUGGAGCUUCAAGAAGCUGUUCGAUGGACAGAGAUGAUUCGGGCAUCACGAGAAAAUCCAGCCAUGCAGGAAAAAAAAAGGUCAAGCAUUUGGCAGUUUUUCAGCCGACUUUUCAGCUCCUCAAGUAACACGACUAAGAAGCCUGAACCACCUGUUAAUCUGAAGUACAAUGCACCCACGUCUCAUGUUACUCCAUCCGUCAAGAAAAGAAGCAGCACCUUAUCUCAGCUCCCUGGGGAUAAGUCCAAAGCCUUUGAUUUCCUUAGUGAAGAAACUGAAGCUAGUUUAGCCUCACGCAGAGAACAAAAGAGAGAGCAGUAUCGUCAGGUAAAAGCACAUGUUCAGAAGGAAGACGGUAGAGUGCAGGCUUUUGGCUGGAGUCUGCCUCAGAAGUACAAACAGGUAACCAAUGGUCAAGGUGAAAAUAAGAUGAAAAAUUUACCUGUGCCUGUCUAUCUCAGACCUCUGGAUGAAAAAGAUACAUCAAUGAAACUGUGGUGUGCUGUUGGAGUCAAUUUAUCUGGUGGGAAGACCAGAGAUGGUGGUUCUGUUGUUGGAGCAAGUGUAUUUUACAAGGAUGUUGCUGGUUUGGAUACAGAAGGCAGUAAACAGCGAAGUGCCUCUCAGAGUAGUUUAGAUAAGUUAGAUCAGGAACUUAAGGAACAGCAGAAGGAGUUAAAAAAUCAAGAAGAAUUAUCCAGUCUAGUUUGGAUCUGUACCAGCACUCAUUCGGCUACAAAAGUUCUUAUUAUUGAUGCUGUUCAACCUGGCAACAUCCUAGACAGUUUCACUGUUUGCAACUCUCAUGUUCUGUGCAUUGCAAGUGUGCCAGGUGCACGAGAAACAGACUACCCUGCAGGAGAAGAUCUUUCAGAAUCUGGUCAGGUAGACAAAGCAUCUUUAUGUGGAAGUAUGACAAGCAACAGCUCAGCAGAGACAGACAGCCUGUUAGGAGGCAUCACAGUGGUUGGUUGUUCUGCAGAAGGUGUGACGGGAGCUGCCACUUCCCCUAGUACAAAUGGUGCUUCUCCAGUGAUGGAUAAACCACCAGAAAUGGAAGCAGAAAAUAGUGAGGUUGAUGAAAAUGUUCCAACAGCAGAAGAAGCAACUGAAGCUACAGAAGGGAAUGCGGGGUCAGCUGAAGACACAGUGGACAUCUCCCAAACUGGCGUCUACACAGAGCAUGUCUUUACAGAUCCUUUGGGAGUUCAGAUCCCAGAAGACCUCUCCCCAGUGUAUCAGUCGAGCAAUGACUCAGAUGCAUAUAAAGAUCAAAUAUCAGUACUGCCAAAUGAACAAGACUUGGUGAGAGAAGAAGCCCAGAAAAUGAGUAGUCUUUUACCAACUAUGUGGCUUGGAGCUCAAAAUGGCUGUUUGUAUGUCCAUUCAUCUGUAGCCCAGUGGAGGAAAUGUCUCCAUUCCAUUAAACUUAAAGAUUCGAUUCUCAGUAUUGUACACGUGAAGGGAAUCGUGUUAGUAGCCCUGGCUGACGGCACCCUUGCAAUCUUUCACAGAGGAGUGGAUGGGCAGUGGGAUUUGUCAAACUAUCACCUCUUAGACCUUGGACGGCCUCAUCAUUCCAUCCGUUGCAUGACUGUGGUACACGACAAAGUCUGGUGUGGCUAUAGGAACAAAAUCUAUGUGGUGCAGCCAAAGGCCAUGAAAAUAGAGAAAUCUUUUGAUGCACAUCCCAGGAAGGAGAGCCAAGUGCGACAGCUUGCGUGGGUGGGGGAUGGCGUGUGGGUCUCCAUUCGCUUGGAUUCUACGCUCCGUCUCUAUCAUGCACACACUUAUCAACAUCUACAGGAUGUGGACAUUGAGCCUUAUGUAAGCAAAAUGUUAGGUACUGGAAAACUGGGCUUCUCUUUUGUGAGAAUUACAGCUCUUAUGGUGUCUUGUAAUCGUUUGUGGGUGGGGACAGGAAAUGGUGUCAUUAUCUCCAUCCCAUUGACAGAAACCGUAAUCCUCCACCAGGGACGUUUACUGGGGCUGAGGGGGGAAAAUAUUUGGUAUUUGGUUUUUCUGUUGCAGCAAAUAAAACCUCAGGUGUACCAGGAAAUCGUCCUGGAAGUGUAAUCCGUGUAUAUGGUGAUGAAAACAGCGAUAAAGUGACUCCAGGGACAUUUAUACCCUAUUGUUCAAUGGCACAUGCACAGCUUUGCUUCCAUGGGCACCGGGAUGCUGUGAAAUUCUUUGUGGCAGUCCCAGGUCAAGUCAUCAGCCCACAAAGUAGCAGUAGUGGCACGGAUCUGACGGGUGACAAAGCAGGGCCAUCUGCACAGGAGCCUGGUAGUCAGACGCCCUUGAAGUCUAUGCUUGUCAUCAGUGGAGGAGAGGGCUACAUCGACUUCCGAAUGGGUGAUGAAGGUGGAGAAUCAGAACUUCUUGGAGAGGAUCUUCCACUUGAACCUUCUGUCACCAAAGCAGAAAGGAGUCACUUGAUAGUGUGGCAAGUGAUGUAUGGCAGUGAGUGAGCCCAUGGGAAACAGGUGGAGAUGGGGAAGCCGCCUCUUCUGCAUGGUUUAUUUUCCCUCUAUCCUUUUAUUUAAUGCUCUUUUGUGAGAUAAGUUUCACCACAUAAUGUGUGAGCAUUUUUUCCUGUUAACUUUAUAUUACAAAAUCCGUUCUACCAUAACAAUACAGAGGAACUAGCUGUGUUACUGCACCAGUGUUAUAGGUAACUUCAGUAUAUUAUGAACAAAUCAAAGAAUGUUUACUUCCUGCAAACUGGUGAAUUAUAGAAAGCAAUCCAGAUGUGGUUUACUCUGCCACAGUCUAAUGUCAUUCACUUCAUUUGAUGGGGUCACUUGUUAGCUGUCACUAAUAAUGGAAUUAAUGGGAAACACUUGAUAAAUGAAACUGUACCAUUAAAUACAAUAGCUGAGUUUUCCCCAGUGUAUUGUAAAAUUGACACACACUAAUACAAGAUGGAUUAUCAGGAUGUAUCUAAAUGUCCCGAGAGGGUUAAAAGCUAACUGUAAAUUACUUUAACUUUCACUUUCAAAUCUGACAAAUCUUGUUUAUAUGGUAUAUAAAACUUUGUUUUCAUCAGAUUUGGGGGGGUUUUAUAUUAAAGAAAUUAAGACUACACUAUUUAAAUAAA
RNA transcript from Pan troglodytes (chimpanzee), 4908 nucleotides. It is a transcript of the gene named sperm associated antigen 9, with no coding region annotated. The record is from RefSeq and is a predicted model, not a curated record. The transcript is spliced from 31 exons. Lineage: Eukaryota; Metazoa; Chordata; Mammalia; Primates; Hominidae.